GGUGCGUAGGCGGGUAUUUAAGUCAGUGGUGAAAUCCUAGAGCUUAACUCUAGAACUGCCAUUGAUACUGUUUAUCUUGAAUAUUGUGGAGGUAAGCGGAAUAUGUCAUGUAGCGGUGAAAUGCUUAGAUAUGACAUAGAACACCUAUGGCGAAGGCAGCUUACUGCGCUGAUAUUGACGCUGAGGCACGAAAGCGUGGGGAUCAAACAGGAUUAGAUACCCUGGUAGUCCACGCCCUAAACGAUGGAUACUCGUUGUACGCGAUACACUGUGUGUGUCUGAGCGAAAGCAUUAAGUAUCCCACCUGGGAAGUACGACCGCACGGUU
This 327-nucleotide ribosomal RNA is filed under the name uncultured bacterium. RNAcentral's name for it is "bacterial SSU rRNA". It matches the Rfam family "Bacterial small subunit ribosomal RNA", at positions 566 to 895 of the family's 1533-position model. The record is from RNAcentral.